This 204-nucleotide ribosomal RNA is filed under the name uncultured bacterium. Its description in RNAcentral is "partial 16S ribosomal RNA". It matches the Rfam family "Bacterial small subunit ribosomal RNA", at positions 128 to 334 of the family's 1533-position model. The record is from RNAcentral.
CGCCGAUGGAGGGGGAUAACUACUGGAAACGGUAGCUAAUACCGCAUAACGUCGCAAGACCAAAGAGGGGGACCUUCGGGCCUCUUGCCAUCGGAUGUGCCCAGAUGGGAUUAGCUAGUAGGUGGGGUAAAGGCUCACCUAGGCGACGAUCCCUAGCUGGUCUGAGAGGAUGACCAGCCACACUGGAACUGAGACACGGUCCAG